This is a long non-coding RNA of Hyposmocoma kahamanoa, 633 nucleotides long. RefSeq lists it as uncharacterized. The record is from RefSeq and is a predicted model, not a curated record. NCBI's taxonomy places the organism in Eukaryota, Metazoa, Arthropoda, Insecta, Lepidoptera, Cosmopterigidae. The transcript has 3 exons.
GCCAAGAGUGAAAGAGAACGCGUCCGCGUCGACGCCGACGUCGUGUUUCUGCGCUUACUUCAAGUCGCCUCGUCGUCACGUUAGUACCCCUUUAGCAGUGCGAGCAUUAGUCAGGUUAAUAAUCUGUUACUGAGUAAGAAGGCGGCAAAACAAAAUUGUUAUAUUAAUAUCAAAUGCUCUUAAAAAGAAGUGUACUAACUUUUUAAUGGUGACACGUCCAGCGACAGUGACCCAAAUGACAGAGGUUCUCAUUCAUGAAAUAAAUAGUCGAUUCGCCGGCGUCGAAGAAAAUAAUAUUUUUGCUGAGAGCACAAUUCUGGACCCGCGGUUCAAAAAAUAUGGGUUCACAAACGAAUUUGCAUAUGGUAGGACAUGUGCAAAUUUAAAGUCCCAAGCCGGGCGAAUCCUCAUUGAUUCCCAACAUCCUACCAUACCGGAGCCUACAAAUUCAUCUCCGUCAUCUAAACGUAAGCGCAGUAUUUGGGAUGAAUUUGAUGAACAGGUGGGUGACAUUUUGAAGAACAUCAACCCGACGUCAGGAGGUAUCAUAGAGGUAGACAAAUACUUGGAAGAGCCAUUGCUACCUAGGUCCCAAGACCCUGCGAAGUGGUGGUUCUCCAAAAAGGAGGCUUA